UACGGGGGGGAGCAAGCGUUGUUCGGAUUUACUGGGCGUAAAGGGCGCGUAGGCGGCCUGUUAAGUCGAACGUGAAAGCCCCGGGCUCAACCUGGGGAAUUGCGCGCGAAACGGGGGGGCUUGAGUUCGGGAGAGGAGCGUGGAAUUCCCAGUGUAGAGGUGAAAUUCGUAGAUAUCGGGAGGAACACCAGUGGCGAAGGCGGCGACCUGGACGGACAUUGACGCUGAGACGCGAAGGCGUGGGGAGCAAACAGGG
This 256-nucleotide ribosomal RNA is filed under the name uncultured bacterium. RNAcentral describes it as "partial 16S ribosomal RNA". It matches the Rfam family "Bacterial small subunit ribosomal RNA", at positions 524 to 777 of the family's 1533-position model. The record is from RNAcentral.